GCAAUCUGGGCUAGUGGAAGGGUUCCCUGCCCAUGGCAGGGGGUGGAACAAGACGAUCUUUAAGGUCCCUUCCCACCCAAAACAUUUUGUGAUUUUAUGGCUUAAUGAGCUGUCAUCUAAGAUUGUCACUGCAGCUGGAUCCUCGUGCAGACUGGAAGAACAAUUCCCUUUUCAUUUUUAUUGUUUUAGGAACCAGCCUGGGGUUUGGGAGAGCGAAGUCCUGGUCCUGCCACCGCCACAGGAUUGCUGGUGUCAUCUCAAGUGAGUCACUUCACCAGGGAACCAAAGGGACAGCACAUCCCUAUGGCAAGAGCUUUGCUGUGUCUCCAGCAUUUUUUGGGGGGCAUGCACAGAGAUUCUCUGAGCAGGAUUGGAACAAGCUGGCCAGGGAAGCAGUGGAAUUGCCCUGGAAGUGUUCAAAAGCAUUCCAGGUGACUGUGCCUGCCCUGACUGCAGGGCUGGGCUG
Empidonax traillii (willow flycatcher) is the source of this 466-nucleotide long non-coding RNA. RefSeq lists it as uncharacterized. The transcript has 3 exons. The record is from RefSeq and is a predicted model, not a curated record. Lineage: Eukaryota; Metazoa; Chordata; Aves; Passeriformes; Tyrannidae.